Molecule: transfer RNA, 77 nt
Filed under: Magnetococcales bacterium
Lineage: Bacteria; Pseudomonadati; Pseudomonadota; Magnetococcia; Magnetococcales
Description: tRNA-Ile
Rfam family: tRNA
About the family: Transfer RNA (tRNA) molecules are approximately 80 nucleotides in length. Their secondary structure includes four short double-helical elements and three loops (D, anti-codon, and T loops). Further hydrogen bonds mediate the characteristic L-shaped molecular structure. tRNAs have two regions of fundamental functional importance: the anti-codon, which is responsible for specific mRNA codon recognition, and the 3' end, to which the tRNAs corresponding amino acid is attached (by aminoacyl-tRNA synthetases). tRNAs cope with the degeneracy of the genetic code in two manners: having more than one tRNA (with a specific anti-codon) for a particular amino acid; and 'wobble' base-pairing, i.e. permitting non-standard base-pairing at the 3rd anti-codon position.
Source: RNAcentral
GGGCCUAUAGCUCAGAUGGUUAGAGCGCACGCCUGAUAAGCGUGAGGUCGGUGGUUCGAUUCCACCUAGGCCCACCA